This 3406-nucleotide long non-coding RNA is filed under the name Volvox carteri. Its description in RNAcentral is "long non-coding RNA (VCAR_LNC001200)". Lineage: Eukaryota; Viridiplantae; Chlorophyta; Chlorophyceae; Chlamydomonadales; Volvocaceae. The record is from RNAcentral.
GUACAUGUGUUGGUUGGUGCAUCUGUGGGUAGUGUGCAAGUAUGCAUAUUAGUAAUGCAUGGGCUUUUGAGCUGUUGCAGUGGGGGCCAAGUGUGCGUGGCUGGGUUGGCGGGCGGGUUUGGGGGGAGAAUAUUUUCUUGGGGGUGAAGAGAGCUUGGGGAUGAAGAGAGCUUGGGGGUGAAGAGAGCUUGGGGAUGAAGAGAGCUUGGGGGUGAAGAGAGCUUGGGGAUGAAGAGAGCUUGGGGGUGAAGAGAGCUUGGGAUUUGUCUGAGGGCGCCUCGCGAGAGCUGUCCUCCCUGGACUUGAGCCGUUCCCCCUCUCCCGGGCCUUACUACCAAGUUGUAUUGAAGCCUGUUCGCCUGUUCACGUCCCAAUAGGACCUGGCCGCUUUCAUUAGUGACGCACGUUCUGCAUUGCUAGACAUAUGAAGGAGGACAGUAGGGACGGCUGGUGCAGGCAGAGCGAUAAUGUGACACUUCCGGUUUUCCUAUGUUAAGGCCUUCCUUCCAGGGCCGGGGCUACCAGCCCUAAUUGCAGGAGAUCUAUCGAUUGCUUAGUUCAGGAAACUGUGAAUUAAGGGGGGGUGUUAGAAUUAUUGGAUUGAAUCAUUUGGACGAAACGUUGGGGUUGCUGCUCCGCUGCUGUUGCUGCUACUGCUGCUGUGACUGCCGCUGAUGCUGUUGCUGAUUGGGUGUGUCAGGGACUGGGUGGUGGCACCGGGGAAGCUGCAACGCUCCCUUUGCUUUAUGCUUCGGUCUUGUGAUGCACACUGGAUUUCAUUCGGCGAACCUUCGCCACGCAGCCAGCUCUUCGUUUGGCGGCCUUGGUUGGUCGGUCUGCAUUUUUGUCUGGCUGUCUGUCUUUGCAUCAUGUUUUUAUGUAUGACUUAGAUUACACUGUGGGCCGCGAGAGCCGGGGGCCGAAGCCGAAACAUCAUGUAUGUAUGUAUGUAUGUAUGUAUGUAUGUAUGUAUGUAUGUAUGUAUGUAUGUAUGUAUGUAUGUAUGUAUGUAUGACGGUGAUUACACUGUGGGCUGAAAAGCCGGGGGCCCAGGGCCGAAACACAGCGCGGGGGGCGGGUGCAUACGGCUGGUUAGUCUUGUGCACUCCGCCCCCGGGUCAGGCCGCACGGGAAACGACGGCCGGCACGCAACAGCGCUCCCCUCCGGGAUUUUGGCGCUCCAGCUAGACGGGAUGUAUGCUUGCUGGUCUCCUAAUAGAAACGAAGUCGCAAUGUAUGUAUGUCUGUCGGUCUCUGGCGUUAGAGAGGGGAAUGAGGUCACACCAGCCUUCUCAACCUACUUGCAUUCCUGCAGCACAUGCAUCGCUGAGCGCGUCGUCCUGUGGAAAGGUUGCCCCCUAACAGGAGACGCACAAGUACAUAAACGCAUACAGAUACACACACCGCGUCAGCAGAUCAUGGAAGCCCUCACCCAUUUCCCUCCCAGUCUUCUCCAUGAAUUGCUUUGGCGCCCCUGCCUGGCUCCGGCUUCUUGUGGCUUUCGGUCGAGCCCAUGGAAGCGAGCGAGCUGACGAGCAUCCCCCUUGAACCGCGUGCCUUGGCUUCAAAUUGGCUGGUGGCAGUGAUGGUGCGAUGUAGGUAGGGCACAUGGCCGUUGGGUUUUCGGUUACAGUGGUGUAGUGGUGGUGGUUUUUCGUCGACCUUCGUUGACACAAACGACUGGGGUGGUUGGUGUGGCGUUGGGGGCGAAUACGGCGACGCCGGCCUGUGCACGCAUUCACGCGCUGUUGGUGCAGGAUGAGUGAUGUUGAGGGCGCGGUUCAGCGUGUUGUUGGGAUAACCUCACGUCACUGAGGGAGAGGGUGUAGCUGAGAAUUGAGGAGCAUUCGCGGCGCUUGAUACUAUGGAGUGCUGUCUGCCUGUUAUAGGGUAGUAAUCCUAGGCGCGAUUUUUCGACAGCUACUCACACUGUCCCAGGCGCCUGCCUUGGCUAUCUACAUAUGUAUUUAAAAAUUAUUAAUAGCAUUUGUUUAAUGGGCAGAGGACAUGAUCUGGGUUGCAACCAGGAUUUCGGAUGGACUAAAAAUCUCGGCGCUGCUGGCUGGAACGAUCUGUAUUAGCCAUUCCUAAGUAGAACAUGGCCCGUUUUAAAUGGGCCAUGUUGGCGAUCCUUCCAAGCACGGCUAUCACGGCAUGGGUGCCCUUACUAACUGCCCAUGUCGUGUUUCGAAGCAACGCUUGACAUGCGUGCACGGACAUAUUGAAGACACACGCACACAUGGGACGUUAUCGUCAUCCAUAUCGAACUCAGGCCUGCGCGCCGCACAGGCUUUACGUCUUGGGGAAGCACAACGAAGGGUUACGUAAGAUUUGUGUUUCGGGUGCGGCAACAUCUGUGUCGUGCGGCUAUCCAGUCAUCUGUGUGUGCGGUACUAAUAGGCACUUGCACGUUAGCUUGAGAUGAGGGCCCUUGUAGGUUUGGCCUUCGCGAUGCCGCUUUCCAAACCUGUUACCAACUGUCCCGGGUGCUCGCAUUGUUCUGCGUGCCUAGCAGUCAUUUCAUAAGCGACACCGCUGCGCCCGAGAGCAAAGAACUUAACUUGACGUGACUUUGACGAUCUUAACGAUUUAGUCAGGUAGGACUCAUGGCAAUGGCAUGUGGUGCGGUACUGGGAGUUACCCGCCGAGUCUUAGAGUUGUAGCUGUUACAGUGGAGACCGACCGGCUCGUGUGCAACGCCCUAAACGAGCAGUCUUAGAGUACUCAGAAACGGGUGUCUGCAUGUCAACAAACGGGGUAUGAAUUGUAGAAUUGUGGUUAUCGUUUUUGCAAAAGUGAGUAUACCGACGCACACAUAUAGACAGGUUUUAUCGGAAAGCAAUUGAAAAGGUUAGCUUGCAAGGAAAGCGCGUCUGACGGUAGUUAAAAAGGUAAUAAACGCGCUGUUGGGCUGACCACGAAGUAUCAGAACGAAGAAAAGCAGAGUACCAAGUAGAGUUUAACGACUCUCACAGGCACGAGUACAUCAUGUCAUGGUGAGACUUUUCUCUCAAAACCGAUAUUAUCACACUGAUAUUGCAGAAAAGUGGGCGCUGGAUAAUCGUCCGAACCGUCGUACGUGUCAUUGAGCACCGUGCGCUGUUUCGCACAUUCAACUAGCGAUACCUGUCUAGUAGCAUAAGCGAAGCUUGAAGCAUACUGGUUUCCUUACCUUUCUUCGACACCUCAACACGGCGCGUGACGGCUGUUAGUCCGAGCAGGUGCUGCCCUUUGCAUUGGUCUGGAGUGAUUUACAAAACUGUGACCUACAAGGACGUGCACGUGGCGGAUAUGGGGUUCUUAGGAUGCAUUCACAGACUGUUGAUGCAAUUGCUGCUUGUGACUUGUAACAGUUGUUCCAUGACAGUUGCUCAACUUGAUGAUGACUAUAUUGUAUAAAUUUAAG